GGUCAGAUGGCCGAGCGGUCUAAGGCGCUAGACUCAAGUAGUGAUUGUACAACUUGGCUAUCUCAGAUAGUUAGCAUUCUAGUAUCGAAAGAUGCGUGGGUUCGAAUCCCACUCUGAUCA
Molecule: non-coding RNA, 120 nt
Organism: Gnomoniopsis smithogilvyi
Lineage: Eukaryota; Fungi; Ascomycota; Sordariomycetes; Diaporthales; Gnomoniaceae
Source: the annotation of a GenBank genome assembly